UACAGAGGUCUCAAGCGUUGUUCGGAUUCAUUGGGCGUAAAGGGUGCGUAGGCGGCGCGGUAAGUCGGGUGUGAAAUCUCGGAGCUUAACUCCGAAACUGCAUUCGAUACUGCCGUGCUUGAGGACUGGAGAGGAGACUGGAAUUUACGGUGUAGCGGUGAAAUGCGUAGAUAUCGUAAGGAAGACCAGUGGCGAAGGCGGGUCUCUGGACAGUUUCUGACGCUGAGGCACGAAGGCCAGGGGAGCAAACGGG
Molecule: ribosomal RNA, 253 nt
Filed under: uncultured bacterium
Lineage: Bacteria
Description: partial 16S ribosomal RNA
Rfam family: Bacterial small subunit ribosomal RNA
Source: RNAcentral